UCCGGUUUAUUCCCACCCCUUGACCACUCUAUGACCACCAUUGACCACCCAACAACCAGCCUAACGCCGCCGUCCGAAAUCGCCUCACGGCGGCGGCUGGGCACCAAACCCCCAACUUUACAACACCAGACCACCAAAACCUCAUCUUCCCCAUCCUGCAAUCAGCUUCCUUCUAAUAACCCUCCUCCGUCUCGAAUAUUCAAAAGAAGAGUCUUCUGAACCACCGUCUCCGGCGACCCAGUCCCAAACAAUCCCAAGAUUACACCGUAGGACCACCAAGACCUACCCUUCCCCGUCC
This 298-nucleotide long non-coding RNA is filed under the name Nicotiana benthamiana. RNAcentral describes it as "long non-coding RNA (NBEN_LNC024400)". Lineage: Eukaryota; Viridiplantae; Streptophyta; Magnoliopsida; Solanales; Solanaceae. The record is from RNAcentral.